GGCGAAGGUGGCGGAAUUGGUAGACGCGCUAGCUUCAGGUGUUAGUGUUCUUACGGACGUGGGGGUUCAA
Molecule: transfer RNA, 70 nt
Filed under: Salmonella enterica subsp. enterica serovar Typhimurium
Lineage: Bacteria; Pseudomonadati; Pseudomonadota; Gammaproteobacteria; Enterobacterales; Enterobacteriaceae
Also listed under: 1 other name
Description: tRNA-Leu
Source: RNAcentral